AAUUGUAUGCUACGAAUCGCCUUAAGUUGAUCUGGCUCAGGAUGAACGUGGGCGGCGUGCCUAAUACAUGCAAGUCGAGCGGAAAGGCUCUUCGGAGGUACUCGAGCGGCGGACGGCUGAGUAACACGUAGGAACAUACCCCGAAGUGAGGGAUAACUGCUCGAAAGAGUAGCUAAUACCGCAUGUGCUCUAAGGAGUAAAGCUUCGGCGCUUCGGGAAUGGCCUGCGUCUGAUUAGUUAGUUGGUGAGGUAAUGGCUCACCAAGGCGACGAUCAGUAGCUGGUCUGAGAGGAUGAUCAGCCAGACUGGGACUGAGACACGGCCCAGACUCCUACGGGAGGCAGCAGUAGGGAAUUUUCCACAAUGGGCGAAAGCCUGAUGGAGCAACGCCGCGUGCAGGAUGAAUGCCUUCGGGUUGUAAACUGCUUUUAUAUGUGACGAAUAUGACGGUAGCAUAUGAAUAAGGAUCGGCUAACUCCGUGCCAGCAGCCGCGGUCAUACGGAGGAUCCAAGCGUUAUCCGGAAUUACUGGGCGUAAAGAGUUGCGUAGGUGGCAUAGUAAGCGGGUAGUGAAAGCGUGUGGCUCAACCAUACUCACAUUAUCUGAACUGCUAAGCUAGAGGACGAGAGAGGUUAUUGGAAUUCCAAGUGUAGGAGUGAAAUCCGUAGAUAUUUGGAGGAACACCGAUGGCGUAGGCAGAUAACUGGCUCGUUCCUGACACUAAGGCACGAAAGCGUGGGGAGCAAACGGGAUUAGAUACCCCGGUAGUCCACGCCGUAAACGAUGGAUGCUAGCUGUUUGAGGUAUCGACCCCUCAUGUAGCGAAGCUAACGCGUUAAGCAUCCCGCCUGUGGAGUACGGUCGCAAGACUAAAACAUAAAGGAAUUGACGGGGACCCGCACAAGCGGUGGAGCGUGUUGCUUAAUUCGAUGGUAAGCGAAGAACCUUACCCAGGCUUGACAUCCUUGGAAGGCUUCCGAAAGGAAACUGUGCCCUUGGGAACCAAGUGACAGGUGUUGCAUGGCCGUCGUCAGCUCGUGUCGUGAGAUGUUUGGUUAAGUCCAUCAACGAGCGCAACCCCUAUAGUUAGUUGAAUUUUUCUAGCUGGACUGCCCCGGUAACGGGGAGGAAGGAGGGGAUGAUGUCAGGUCAGUAUUACCCUUACGUCUGGGGCUGCAAACACGCUACAAUGGCCGGUACAAAGGGCUGCCAAGUCGCGAGACGGAGCAAAUCCCAUCAAAGCCGGUCCAAGUUCGGAUAGCAGGCUGAACUCGCCUGCUUGAAGUCGGAAUCGCUAGUAAAGGUAGGUCAGCACACUACAUUGAUACAUU
RNAcentral lists this ribosomal RNA (1332 nucleotides) under uncultured bacterium. Its description in RNAcentral is "bacterial SSU rRNA". It matches the Rfam family "Bacterial small subunit ribosomal RNA", at positions 1 to 1372 of the family's 1533-position model. The record is from RNAcentral.